This 762-nucleotide ribosomal RNA is filed under the name uncultured bacterium. RNAcentral describes it as "bacterial SSU rRNA". It matches the Rfam family "Bacterial small subunit ribosomal RNA", at positions 8 to 760 of the family's 1533-position model. The record is from RNAcentral.
AGAGUUUGAUCAUGGCUCAGGACGAACGCUGGCGGCGUGCCUAAUACAUGCAAGUCGAGCGGAUCGUAUCCUUCGGGAUACGAUGAGCGGCGAACGGGUGAGUAACACGUAGGCAACCUGCCUGUAAGACCGGGAUAACCCACGGAAACGUGAGCUAAUACCGGAUAAUCGGUUUCUCCGCAUGGAGAGACCGUGAAAGAUGCUCCGGCAUCGUUUACAGAUGGGCCUGCGGCGCAUUAGCUAGUUGGCGGGGUAACGGCCCACCAAGGCGACGAUGCGUAGCCGACCUGAGGGGGUGAUCGGCCACACUGGGACUGAGACACGGCCAAGACUCCUACGGGAGGCAGCAGUAGGGAAUCUUCGGCAAUGGACGAAAGUCUGACCGAGCAACGCCGCGUGAGUGAGGAAGGCCUUCGGGUCGUAAAGCUCUGUUGCCAGGGAAGAAUGGCUGGGAGAGGGAAUGCUCCCGGUUUGACGGUACCUGAGAAGAAAGCCCCGGCUAACUACGUGCCAGCAGCCGCGGUAAUACGUAGGGGGCAAGCGUUGUCCGGAAUUAUUGGGCGUAAAGCGCGCGCAGGCGGUACUUUAAGUCUUGUGUUUAAUCCCGGGGCUCAACCUCGGUGCGCAUGGGAAACUGGAGUACUGGAGUGCAGGAGAGGAAAGUGGAAUUCCACGUGUAGCGGUGAAAUGCGUAGAGAUGUGGAGGAACACCAGUGGCGAAGGCGACUUUCUGGCCUGUAACUGACGCUGAGGCGCGAAAGC